RNAcentral lists this ribosomal RNA (313 nucleotides) under Paenibacillus popilliae. Its description in RNAcentral is "bacterial SSU rRNA". It matches the Rfam family "Bacterial small subunit ribosomal RNA", at positions 443 to 748 of the family's 1533-position model. The record is from RNAcentral. Lineage: Bacteria; Bacillati; Bacillota; Bacilli; Caryophanales; Paenibacillaceae.
GGAAGAACAAGUGCGAGAGUAACUGCUCGCACCAUGACGGUACCUAACCAGAAAGCCACGGCUAACUACGUGCCAGCAGCCGCGGUAAUACGUAGGUGGCAAGCGUUGUCCGGAAUUAUUGGGCGUAAAGGGCUCGCAGGCGGUUUCUUAAGUCUGAUGUGAAAGCCCCCGGCUCAACCGGGGAGGGUCAUUGGAAACUGGGAAACUUGAGUGCAGAAGAGGAGAGUGGAAUUCCACGUGUAGCGGUGAAAUGCGUAGAGAUGUGGAGGAACACCAGUGGCGAAGGCGACUCUCUGGUCUGUAACUGACGCUG